ACAUUAUUUGAUUGUUGUAACUGUUACUUGUUUUCUGAAUGUUAUGUAGUGUUUUCCCUAUUGUUUGUAAUGUCCUCAUUACUUUUGGAUUUUUCUCUUCAAACAACUUUGAUUAUACGUUGCUUGAGUCUAGGGUCUUUCAGAUACAACCUCUUUACCUCCAGGAGGUAGGGCUAAAGUCUGAGUACAUUCAAUUCUACCUGGAUCCCACCACCUGUGGGAUUACACUGGGUAUGUUGUUGUUGUUGGAUAAAGUCAA
This 259-nucleotide unclassified non-coding RNA is filed under the name Hevea brasiliensis (rubber tree). The record is from RNAcentral. Lineage: Eukaryota; Viridiplantae; Streptophyta; Magnoliopsida; Malpighiales; Euphorbiaceae.